This 208-nucleotide unclassified non-coding RNA is filed under the name Entomortierella beljakovae. Its description in RNAcentral is "Mortierella beljakovae partial internal transcribed spacer region". The stretch from base 1 to 46 matches the Rfam family "Eukaryotic small subunit ribosomal RNA", at positions 1786 to 1831 of the family's 1831-position model. The record is from RNAcentral. RNAcentral also lists the same sequence under 1 other name. Lineage: Eukaryota; Fungi; Mortierellomycota; Mortierellomycetes; Mortierellales; Mortierellaceae.
AAGUCGUAACAAGGUUUCCGUAGGUGAACCUGCGGAAGGAUCAUUCAUAAUAAAAGUGUUUUAUGGCACUUUUAAAACAAUCCAUAUCCACCUUGUGUGCAAUGUUUUUUCAUUAUCAACUCUUUAAUUUUAAUUAUUUUGUCUGAAAUAUAUUAUGAAUAACUUAAUUCAAAAAAUAUAACUUUCAACAACGGAUCUCUUGGCUCUC